CCUGAGUUUUACAACUCUCCAAACCAUGUGAACUUACCACUGUUGCCUCGGUGGUUUGGGUCUUCGGGCCUGACCACCGGCGGACUACUAAACUCUUGUUAACUUUUGGCAUUCUGAAUCAUAACUAAGAAAUAAGUUA
Molecule: unclassified non-coding RNA, 139 nt
Filed under: soil metagenome
Description: partial internal transcribed spacer 1
Source: RNAcentral